ACACGGUCCAGGCUCCUACGGGAGGCAGCAGUGGGGAAUAUUGGACAAUGGGCGAAAGCCUGAUCCAGCCAUGCCGCGUGUGUGAAGAAGGUCUUCGGAUUGUAGAGCACUUUAAGUUGGGAGGAAGGGCAGUAAAUUAAUACUUUGCUGUUUUGACGUUACCNACANAAUAAGCACCGCCUAACUCUGUGCCAGCAGCCGCGGUAAUACAGAGGGUGCAAGCGUUAAUCGGAAUUACUGGGCGUAAAGCGCGCGUAGGUGGUUUGUUAAGUUGGAUGUGAAAGCCCCGGGCUCAACCUGGGAACUGCAUUCAAAACUGACAAGCUANAGUAUGGUAGAGGGUGGUGGAAUUUCCUGUGUAGCGGUGAAAUGCGUANAUAUAGGAAGGAACACCANUGGCGAANGCGACCACCUGGACUGAUACUGACACUGANGUGCGAAAGCGUGGGGAGCAAACAGGAUUAGAUACCCUGGUAGUCCACGCC
Molecule: ribosomal RNA, 485 nt
Filed under: uncultured Gammaproteobacteria bacterium
Lineage: Bacteria; Pseudomonadati; Pseudomonadota; Gammaproteobacteria
Description: bacterial SSU rRNA
Rfam family: Bacterial small subunit ribosomal RNA
Source: RNAcentral